ACGAACGCUGGCGGCGUGCUUAACACAUGCCAGUCGAACGGAAAGGCCCUGCUUUUGUGGGGUGCUCGAGUGGCGAACGGGUGAGUAACACGUGAGUAACCUGCCCUUGACUUUGGGAUAACUUCAGGAAACUGGGGCUAAUACCGGAUAGGAGCUCCUGCUGCAUGGUGGGGGUUGGAAAGUUUCGGCGGUUGGGGAUGGACUUGCGGCUUAUCAGCUUGUUGGUGGGGUAGUGGCUUACCAAGGCUUUGACGGGUAGCCGGCCUGAGAGGGUGACCGGCCACAUUGGGACUGAGAUACGGCCCAGACUCCUACGGGAGGCAGCAGUGGGGAAUAUUGCACAAUGGGCGGAAGCCUGAUGCAGCAACGCCGCGUGCGGGAUGACGGCCUUCGGGUUGUAAACCGCUUUCGCCUGUGACGAAGCGUGAGUGACGGUAAUGGGUAAAGAAGCACCGGCUAACUACGUG
Molecule: ribosomal RNA, 467 nt
Filed under: uncultured bacterium
Lineage: Bacteria
Description: partial 16S ribosomal RNA
Rfam family: Bacterial small subunit ribosomal RNA
Source: RNAcentral